Molecule: RNA transcript, 3129 nt
Organism: Helianthus annuus (common sunflower)
Lineage: Eukaryota; Viridiplantae; Streptophyta; Magnoliopsida; Asterales; Asteraceae
Gene name: receptor-like protein EIX2
Exons: 3
Source: RefSeq, a predicted model, not a curated record
UUAUAUGCCAUAUAUCCUCCCCUGUUUUGAGACUGAACUUCAUCCUAUUCCAAAAUGAAAACCAGUUUUCUUCUCAUUUUUACAUCCCUCUUAUUCCAAAUAAUUGGUUUAAGCAUCAUUACAGCUUCUUCAAAUGUUACAUGUAUCCAAAGGGAGAGGCGGUCCCUUCUUGUUUUCAAACAAACCCUCACAGACACAUCUAAUCUUCUGUCAACAUGGAGCGGAGUAGAAUGUUGUCACUGGCAGGGAAUUGGGUGUGACCGUCUGAAUGGUCAUGUUGUGAAACUUGAUCUUCGAUCUUUGAAUUUCAGCAGACGCCUUGUAGGUAAGUUGAGUCCUUCUUUACAGAAUUUGAAACAUCUGCGUUACUUGGACUUGAGCGUAAAUCAAUUCUCAGGAAGCAUUCCUGAAUUCAUGGGUUCGUUUAAACAUUUGGAAUACCUUAAUUUAACACACUCAGGUUUAAGCGGGGUAGUUCCUCAUCAUCUAGGAAAUCUCUCAAGGUUACAAUAUCUUGAUCUUAGUCAUGGUCCUCUCAUGGAUGAUCUUGAUCGUAGAAUUUCAUAUGGAUAUGAUAUUGGAGCCCCUAGGCCUGUCAUAGAUGAUUUAGGAUGGGUGUCUUCCCUGCGGUCAUUAAGGCACUUGGAUUUAUCAUAUAUGUCCCUUGAACAUAUUGAUUGGUUCCAUCCAAUCAACAUGCUACCUUCUUUGCUUACACUGAACUUGGCAUCGUGUGAUGUCAAUAUCCCUUCAGUUAAAGUCGUCAAUUUCACGUCUCUUAAUUCACUGGACCUCUCCUCCAAUCUUAUUAAUUCAACCAUUCCUGUCUGGUUAUCAAACCUUACUGGCCUCAUGCAUCUAAACUUUGAACUCAACCACUUCCAUGGUAAAAUUCCUGAUUUCAUGGGAAUGUUCAGCGCUCUUGCUUCCAUCGACCUCUCGACCAAUUCCUUUGAAACUUUGAUGCCAGAUACGUUAUUUAAUUUGAGCAGCCUCAUUCAUAUGGACCUUUCGGGGAACAAGUUUUCUGGUCCUAUUCCCGUAAACCUUGGACUACUCUUAAGGCUAGAAGACCUAGCUCUUGGUGAUAAUCAAUUGAGUGGGAACAUUACCUUGAGUCUUGGGGAGCUUUCAAAGCUCAAGACUCUAGAUCUCUCCGAAAAUUCGUUGGUCGGGGUCCUUUCCCAAACUCAUUUCACCAAGCUAAAGAAUCUAAAUUGUUUGAUGUUGUCUGAUAAUUCGCUAGCGUUGAAUUUCAGCUCUCGAUGGAGGGCCCCCUUCCAACUACAGGUACUCUAUGCAAGUUCCGUCAACAUCGGACCCCAAUUCCCGAAAUGGCUUCAAACACAAACAAAUCUUCAGAGAUUAGAUCUUUCUAACUCGGGUAUUAGCGAUACAAUACCAGAGUGGUUUGAGAACAUCUUGUCUCAUAUUCUUGACUUGGAUUUGUCAUAUAACCAUAUCGGUGGCAAACUGCCACGAUUUCAUUUCAAGAGUAGUGCCCAAAUAUUGGAUGGGAUUUCCCUAAAGUUGAACUCAAACAAGUUUGAGGGGUCACUAGCAAACUUUCCAGAAAAUUUGUUGAUUUUGGAUCUAUCAGAUAACUUACUGUCAGGACAUGUGCCCCAAACAGAUGGAGCAAUGAGCCCAAGUCUCCAAGUUGUUAAUCUCUCAAAAAAUCGUUUCACAGGAAACAUUCCAGUACACUUAUGCAAUGUCCUUAGCAUCCAACUUUUAGAUUUAUCACAAAAUAAGUUUUCUGGAAGGCUUCCUGGAUGCUUAGGGAACUUAACUAAUUUGCAGGUGAUAAAUCUUGCAAAUAACACCAUAACCGGUGUUGUUCCAAGUUCCUUGGGUUCUCUAAUACAACUAAACUCGUUGCACUUGCACAACAACAGAAUUGAGGGGGGUAUCCCGCUAUCCUUACAAAACUUGACACGACUUGUUACAAUGGAUUUAGGGAAAAAUAUGCUCAUGUGUGAUAUCCCUUUUUGGAUUGGUGAAAAGCUCUCUGACCUCAGAAUUUUAAAUCUGGAGUCGAAUAAGUUUACAGGAAAGAUUCCUUUACAGCUUUGUAAACUCCAUGCUCUUCAAUAUUUAAGCUUGGCACAUAAUAACAUAAUCGGAACAAUCCCUCAUUGCUUUGGGAAUUUAAGUGGUAUGAUCACGAGUUCCAACUGGAUAACAUUUGGAUCGAUGCAAACCUAUGAUGAAAAUAUUUUGGUUUCCACAAAGGGAAGGCAACAAUCGUACACCAGAACAGUACUAAGGUUUUUUAUAUCAAUAGACCUCUCUAACAACAAUAUCGUUGGAGAACUGCCUGAUGCUCUAAUGUAUCUUCUGGGGUUGAAGAGCUUAAAUCUCUCUGGAAACCUUCUAAAAGGACAUAUUCCAGUAAUCAUUGGAAAUCUAAAGCAACUGGAAUCUUUAGAUUUGUCGAUGAACAACCUGUCUGGUCGGAUUCCCCAAAGUUUGGGUAGCUUGACCUUUCUAAGCUACUUGAACCUGUCAUUCAAUGAUUUAUAUGGCCGAGUUCCAGCUGGAAAUCAGCUUCAGACUCUUGAUGACCCAACUAUUUAUGAAGGGAACAAUGGACUAUGUGGGCCACCAGUUUUAAGAAGUUGCAAUGAAGAUGAUGUAAGAGACAAUCAUGUUGGUAAGAAUGAAGGUCAAGAUGAUACUGAAGACUUGUGGUUUUAUACUGGCAUGGGCCCAGGGUUCUUUGUUGGAUUUGUUGGACUACUUGGGAGUCUGCACUUCAUUACUAGGUGGAGAUUGGUUUACUUUGGGACUCUUGAAAACGUUUACAGUUGGUUAACGUUGUCAAUUCUACUUAAUCUUGGUCACCUAAGAAGGAAACUUUUCAAAUGAGGUUGUUACAAUCGUCAAUAUGGGUGAACUUGAGAUACUACUGGAGUUCAUUAAGGUUAUUACUAUCAAUGUUGUGAAUGGAGGGUGGCUCAAGCGUUAAAAGCCAUUUGUUUUAAUAAAUGUAACGAGUUAAGACUUUUAAAUUCCUAUUAAGUUGUUAAAACCUCUUAUGUUUUGAAUAUUUAUAAAAUUAUAUUUGUAAAAUUACCAUUUGGAUGUUAUAGGAAGAAUGAAUAAAAUGUAAGAUUAAAUAUAUUA